CUGGUGGUUAGAGGAUGAGCCGGUGGUUAGGGUAGCGAGGAGCAGCUGGUGGUUACAGGAUGAGCCGUGAUUAGGAUAGUGAGGAGCAGCUGGUGGUUAGAGGAUGAGCCGGUGGUUAGAGGAGCGAGGAGCAGCUGGUGGUUAGAGGAGCGAGGGGCAGCUGGUGGUUAGGGUAGCGAGGAGCAGCUGGUGGUUAGAGGAUGAGCCGGUGGUUAGAGAGUGGCGAGGAGCAGCUGGUGGUUAGAGGAUGAGCCGGUGGUUAGAGUGGCGAGGAGCAGCUGGUGGUUAGAGGAUGAGCCGGUGGUUAGGGUAGUGAGGAGCAGCUGGUGGUUAGAGGAUGAGUCGGUGGUUAGAGAGUGGCGAGGAGCAGCUGGUGGUUAGAGGAUGAGCCGGUGGUUAGAGGAUGAGCAGGUGGUUAGGGUAGUGAGGAGCAGCUGGUG
Molecule: non-coding RNA, 440 nt
Organism: Pelobates cultripes (western spadefoot toad)
Lineage: Eukaryota; Metazoa; Chordata; Amphibia; Anura; Pelobatidae
Source: the annotation of a GenBank genome assembly